CAUUUCCGUUUUGAAUACUUUCAGAUCCUUCCCUUUUUUCUCCCAGCCCCAAGAGUGGUAGCUACCUUCCCCAGUUGCUAUCUCAGUGAUACCUUAGACCUUAGAAAGUGUAUCUUUUUACACUUUCAGUUGCCCAGUUGACAGCUUCGUACUCUGUCAACAAUCCUUUAUAUUUAAUUCCUUCUGUUGAAAUAGCUGGUUUCCUUUCUGUCUCCUGCUGGACCCUGACUGGCACAGUGAGGCCCACAGGGUCCGGAUAGCAAUUUCUUGCCUCGGAUGACUCACCUCUGGCUCUGAAGGUGGCGGGGACAGAGUCUCACCGCUAAAGAGAAGCUCCCAAGUCAGAAAGGACAGUUAUCUCUUUGGAGUGUGAUCCCUUCGUGCAACAGAUUUUGCACUAAGUCCCUACUAUGUGCAAAAUCCCGGUGAAGCUUCUGAGGAUAUAACAAUGCAUAAGAUAUGGCCUCUGCCCCUGAUAA
Eptesicus fuscus (big brown bat) is the source of this 479-nucleotide long non-coding RNA. RefSeq lists it as uncharacterized. The transcript is spliced from 3 exons. The record is from RefSeq and is a predicted model, not a curated record. NCBI's taxonomy places the organism in Eukaryota, Metazoa, Chordata, Mammalia, Chiroptera, Vespertilionidae.